This 508-nucleotide ribosomal RNA is filed under the name uncultured bacterium. Its description in RNAcentral is "bacterial SSU rRNA". It matches the Rfam family "Bacterial small subunit ribosomal RNA", at positions 28 to 535 of the family's 1533-position model. The record is from RNAcentral.
GAUGAACGCUAGCGGCAGGCUUAACACAUGCAAGUCGAGGGGCAGCACGUCUUCGGAUGGUGGCGACCGGCGCACGGGUGAGUAACGCGUAUGCAAUCUACCUUUUACAGGGGCAUAGCCCGGGGAAACCCGGAUUAAUAUCCUAUAGUACCAUUAUAUAGCAUUAUAUUAUGGUUAAAGUUUCGGCGGUAAAAGAUGAGCAUGCGUCCUAUUAGCUUGAUGGUAAGGUAACGGCUUACCAUGGCUAUGAUAGGUAGGGGUCCUGAGAGGGAGACCCCCCACACUGGUACUGAGACACGGACCAGACUCCUACGGGAGGCAGCAGUGAGGAAUAUUGGACAAUGGGCGCAAGCCUGAUCCAGCCAUGCCGCGUGCAGGAAGACGGCCCUAUGGGUUGUAAACCGCUUUUAUACGGGAAGAAACACCCCUUCGUGAAGGGACUUGACGGUACCGUAUGAAUAAGGAUCGGCUAACUCCGUGCCAGCAGCCGCGGUAAUACGGAGGAUCC